AUCGUUACUUGUGUACCUAAUAAGUAGGUAAUUCUUGGGAAGUACAAAUUGGAAAGAGUAAACGGAAGCUGGUAGUGACACGUCAAUCAACUGGCCGGAAAAUCGCCAUAGCUUAGCUUCACCAUAAAAAUGGUGGAAAUUUAACCCACAAAAAGCACCAAUAAACAUGAUCCCUUUUGUCACCUUCACCUUACUUAUCCUUUUCAGCUUGAUCUCAUCAUCAUCUUCUUCACAAAUCUCAGUUUCUGUAACCCCAAAAACCUUAUCAAAAUCUGGUGAUUUUGUUACAAUCAAAUGGACUGGUAUACCAUCACCUUCUAAACUCGAUUUCUUAGGAAUUUACUCGCCACCCAGUUCACUCCACGAUAAUUUCAUUGGCUAUAUUUUCCUAUCUUCAACAUCCGAAUGGGAAUCUGGAUCGGGUUCAAUUUCCAUCCCUUUAGUCAAUCUUAGAUCUGGGUAUCAGUUUCGGAUAUUCAGAUGGACGGAAUCGGAGAUUGUACCGGAUCUAGUGGAUCAUGACCACAAUCCAUUGCCGCAGACGAAGCAUCUUCUUGCUGUGUCGGAGGAGGUUGGGUUUGUUUCGGGUAGGGGACCCGAACAGGUUCAUUUGGCUUUGACGGGUUUUGAAGAUGAGAUGCGGGUUAUGUUUGUUACGCCUGAUGGGAAAGAGAGUUAUGUGAGAUAUGGGUUGACCCGGGGUAGAUUGGGUCGGGUUGUGAAAACUCGGGUUGUGAGGUAUGAGAAGGAAGAUUUGUGUGAUGCACCAGCAAAUAGUAGUAUUGGAUGGAGAGAUCCUGGGUAUAUACAUGAUGGUGUUAUGCAUAAUCUGAAAAAGGGAAAGAAGUAUUAUUAUCAGGUUGGCAGUGAUUCAAGGGGCUGGAGCACCAUUUUCAGCUUUGUGUCACAGAAUAGAGACACGGGUGAAACAUUUGCUUUCUUGUUUGGAGACAUGGGGACUGCUACGCCAUACUUGACAUUUCUUCGUACACAGGAAGAAAGUAAAUCAACGAUUAAGUGGAUAAGCCGUGAUAUUGAAGCUCUUGGUAAUAAGCCUGCCCUUAUCUCACAUAUUGGAGAUAUCAGCUACGCCAGAGGAUACUCUUGGUUGUGGGACAACUUUUUUACUCAGGUGGAACCUGUUGCAUCCAGAGUUCCAUACCAUGUAUGCAUCGGAAACCAUGAAUAUGAUUGGCCACUUCAACCUUGGAAGCCUGAUUGGUCAAGCUACGGGAAAGAUGGGGGAGGUGAAUGUGGUGUACCCUACAGUCAUAAGUUCCAUAUGCCAGGAAACUCUUCAGUGCCGACUGGAAUGCAUGCUCCUGCAACUCGGAAUCUUUAUUACUCAUUUGAUUCUGGGCCCGUUCACUUUGUCUAUAUGUCAACUGAAACAAAUUUCCUGCCAGGUAGUAACCAGUAUGACUUUUUAAAGCAUGACUUGGAAUCAGUUGAUCGAGUAAAAACUCCUUUUGUCGUCUUUCAAGGGCACAGACCAAUGUACAGUUCAAGUAGCGGAACAAAAGAUAUAUCUUUGAGGAAGAGAAUGGUUGAGUAUUUGGAACCUCUUCUUGUGAAGAACAAUGUGAAUCUUGUAUUGUGGGGGCAUGUUCAUAGGUAUGAGAGGUUUUGCCCUUUGAAUAACUUCACCUGUGGAAGCUUGGCCUUGAACGGGAAGGAGCAAAAGGCUUUCCCUGUUCAAAUUGUGAUCGGGAUGGCAGGACAGGACUGGCAGCCUAUCUGGGCACCAAGAGAAGACCACCCUACGGAUCCUAUUUUCCCACAGCCUCUGCAAUCUCUGUACCGUGGGAGUGAAUUUGGAUACAUGAGGCUGCAUGCCACAAAGGAAAAGCUUACACUUUCUUAUGUAGGAAACCAUGACGGAGAGGUGCAUGAUAAGGUGGAGUUCCUAGCUUCAGGACAACUUCUCAAUGCUGGUAUCCGUGAUGGUCCUGCAGAUACAGUACACAUGGAGUCUAACUUCUCAUGGUAUGUAAAGGUUGGAAGUGUGCUAAUGCUUGGAGCUUUGAUGGGUUACAUAGUUGGAUUCAUAUCUCAUGCUCGGAAAAAUUCUGCUGAUAAUGGUUGGAGGCCUAUAAAAACUGAGGUAAUAUGAAUACUUGCUAGUUCAGGUUGUGAAAUUUGGCGAUACUCAAGUCUUACAAGGCAAUCUACAUCGCAAUACUCGAAUGUCUUACUACCAGUUGCUAUAUGGUAAAAACCUAAGUUAAGACGAUGCUUCACCUGGUCACGGCAAGAUAAGAGAGAAUGCCUGCUUAAUGAAUGUGGCCAGCAUUUUGCACUAGUCCUGUAAUGCGACUAUGUGAGAAUAAUCAUGUGUUUGGUAAUGGAUAUGAUUGUUUUAUUCUGUCAUUUCAGUAUAAAUGGGCGGAUAAGUUAUCCAUAUGGAAAGUGGAUAAAAUAAUCUCAUAAGAUAUCCUGGUCUAUCCUACCGACCUGACGUCCCCAUAGCAUGUUUUUUUAAUGAUUUUAGAUGUGAUUUGGAAAAUGUUCUUGUAUGUAUAUGAUCAGUGCUUGAUUGAAUUAUUGUUUAGCAAUUGCCAAGAAAUUAAAGAAUAUAUAAUGGUUGGGAUUUAGCUCUUCCCCUUUCUGUUGGUUUACUACUUUCUGUAUUUAAGAGACUUGUAUUUUUCAUAGAUAAUUAUUGUUGUUG
Molecule: unclassified non-coding RNA, 2671 nt
Filed under: Hevea brasiliensis (rubber tree)
Lineage: Eukaryota; Viridiplantae; Streptophyta; Magnoliopsida; Malpighiales; Euphorbiaceae
Source: RNAcentral